CGGCAAACGGGUGAGUAACACGUAUCCAACCUGCCCCACACUCGUGUAUAGCCUCCCGAAAGGGAGAGUAAUCCACGAUGUUGUGAACUUCCCGCAUGAGGAGUUCACCAAAGGUUUACCGGUAUGGGAUGGGGAUGCGUUCCAUUAGAUAGUCGGCGGGGUAACGGCCCACCGAGUCAAUGAUGGAUAGGGGUUCUGAGAGGAAGGUCCCCCACAUUGGAACUGCGACACGGUCCAAACUCCUACGGGAGGCAGCAGUGAGGAAUAUUGGUCAAUGGACGAAGGUCUGAACCAGCCAAGUAGCGUGAAGGAUGACUGCCCUAUGGGUUGUAAACUUCUUUUGUGCGGGAAUAACGUGCUCCACGUGUGGGGUAUUGCAUGUACCGUACGAAUAAGGAUCGGCUAACUCCGUGCCAGCAGCCGCGGUAAUACGGAGGAUCCGAGCGUUAUCCGGAUUUAUUGGGUUUAAAGGGAGCGUAGGCGGUGGAUCAAGUCAGCUGUGAAAUGUAGAUGCUCAACGUCUGCACUGCAGUUGAAACUGGUUCACUUGAGUGCGUAAGAGGUAGGCGGAAUUUAUGGUGUAGCGGUGAAAUGCUUAGAUAUCAUAAAGAACUCCGAUUGCGAAGGCAGCUUACUGGGCCGCAACUGACGCCGAAGCUCGAAGGUGCGGGUAUCGAACAGGAUUAGAUACCCUGGUAGUCCGCACAGUAAACGAUGGAUACUCGCUGUCGGCGAUAAACAGUCGGUGGCCAAGCGAAAGCGUUAAGUAUCCCACCUGGGGAGUACGCCGGCAACGGUGAAACUCAAAGGAAUUGACGGGGGCCCGCACAAGCGGUGGAGCAUGUGGUUUAAUUCGAAGCAACGCGAAGAACCUUACCAAAUCUUGACAUCCCGAUGAAAAGCUAUGUAAUGUAGCUCCUACUUCGGUACAUCGGUGACAGGUGGUGCAUGGUUGUCGUCAGCUCGUGUCGUGAGAUGUUGGGUUAAGUCCCGCAACGAGCGCAACCCCUAUCUUUAGUAGCCAGCAUUUCGGAUGGGCACUCUAGAGAGACUGCCAGGGUUAACCUGGAGGAAGGUGGGGAUGACGUCAAAUCAUCAUGCCCCUUAUGAUUUGGGCUACACACGUGCUACAAUGGCGUAAACAAAGAGAAGCGAUCCUGUGAGGGGGAGCAAAUCUCAAAAAUAACGUCUCAGUUCGGAUUGUAGUCUGCAACUCGACUACAUGAAGCUGGAAUCGCUAGUAAUCGCAGAUCAGAAUGCUGCGGUGAAUACGUUCCCGGGUCUUGCACUCACCGCCCGUCAAG
This 1304-nucleotide ribosomal RNA is filed under the name uncultured bacterium. RNAcentral's name for it is "partial 16S ribosomal RNA". It matches the Rfam family "Bacterial small subunit ribosomal RNA", at positions 96 to 1401 of the family's 1533-position model. The record is from RNAcentral.